UACAGAGGGUGCAAGCGUUAAUCGGAAUUACUGGGCGUAAAGCGCGCGUAGGUGGUUCGUUAAGUUGGAUGUGAAAUCCCCGGGCUCAACCUGGGAACUGCAUCCAAAACUGGCGAGCUAGAGUAUGGUAGGGGGUGGUGGAAUUUCCUGUGUAGCGGUGAAAUGCGUAGAUAUAGGAAGGAACACCAGUGGCGAAGGCGACCACCUGGACUGAUACUGACACUGAGGUGCGAAAGCGUGGGGAGCAAACAGG
RNAcentral lists this ribosomal RNA (253 nucleotides) under uncultured bacterium. Its description in RNAcentral is "partial 16S ribosomal RNA". It matches the Rfam family "Bacterial small subunit ribosomal RNA", at positions 524 to 776 of the family's 1533-position model. The record is from RNAcentral.